GGUGCUAAAGAGAGACAAAACUCGUGUGGGUGGCUGGAGAUUAGCCAUUUGGAAUUCUCUCCUUUGCUUUGUGCCACAAGCUGUUUGCCUGUUCCCGCUCCGGGGUGGCAUCUCCUCCAGAGUCUGGAAUCAUCGUGGAAUUGUUGAGGUUGGAAAAGAGCUCGAAGAGCAUCGCUCCUCUCCGUCCGUGUGUUUCCUGAACGCUUCCAGGCAUGGCAGCUCCACCAGAAAGGCUUUUCAUGGUGGAUUUUUCCCUAAAUUCCAACCUAAAAUUCCUUUUUUCUAAAUUCCAGCCUCAAAUUCCUUUUUUCUAAAUUCCGUCGGCCCAGCUCGAGGCCUUUCUGUCCCUUCCUGUUCCUUGGGACACGAGGUUGACCCCAGCUGUUCUCUCCUUCCUCCUGUUCUCUUUCCAAAUCAAUCCCCACAGCUCAAAGCUCUGAAAUCUCUUUUUUCCACCCCAAGCUACUCGUGGUGAGCACCAAAAAAUGUUCCCAAAGGCAAAUGUGGAGGGAGACAGGAGCAAGCAGGAAAUCAUCGAUUCACAAUAUUGAAAUUCCAGCUUCCCUCCAAUUAGCCAGCUUCCCAAUAUUUGAACAGAAGAGCAUUUGAAUGCAAUUACAACAUUGGAAUUCUGUGCAUAAUUAGCUCCCUAUUAAAGUAUUUAUGGAGCCCUUUUUUUCCCAUCCGAAACAGCGAAAGCCAGAGCAUUUUAUUCCUUACUGUUACAAUAAUUAACUAUGCAAGGAGAACAGCAUAUUAAUAGAGCAUAAUUUGUUUACAUUGAAAAGAAAAUUGUGCUAGAUUAGCAUAGCAAAAGACUAUUUCCAUAUCCAGGCAGGAAUGUUCAGGCCUAAUAGCAAUUUUCAGUGUCGUUAAGGAAUAUUAUUAAUAAAGUAACACGGUGUAAUUCCCUUUGCCCCCGCCGUAUUUCACAAUGUCCUUAAUUACGGCUAAUUCCGGCGGGACUCAUUUGGGGGUUAUUAAGCCGGAGACACGGGAAUCUUAAAUACAACCUUUGGUAAUGAGGAGGCUGCGAAGUUCCUGGGAAUGCUGAGGAUGGAAGGAAGGGACGGGCAGCAGAGCCCUUGGGAUAAUCCUGGGGGAAAAAAAUAAAAAUGGAUUGAAACUCGCUCUGGGGAUGGGCAGUUCUGCGCCCAAUUCCGCAGGAAUUCAGAGAGAAACGCUCCCAAAAUCAAUCCAGGAUUCAAUGAGGGUUGGAACGGCUUCUCCCAAAUCCCAGCGUGCCUCAUCCCCCCCCUCCAAACAUCAACAAUGAAGCCUCUGUCUUCUUGCAGGAUGUUUGUCAUCUUUUGAUGCCGUGCCAGCAAAGCGCGGAAUUGUGGGAGAGCAAAGCUCCCAAAGUGAUCUCUGCUCUGCAAGUUCCAGAAAGAUCCACGCUCCGAAAAGGACGGGGCAGGAAGUUCGGCUGGCUGGGGGAAAAGCAGCUCCAGACACAACGGGACCUUUAUCAGCUUGAACUUCAUCUCCGCCCCAGAAAAGCUGCACCCGGCACAGCCCUGCCAGAGGAAACUUCCAGAAGGUCUUCAUUUGGGGACUUGGAGCUUCCAGGGGCUGCACUCUCAUCCCAGUUGGAACUUUAUCUCCAGCCUGAAAUGAUUUGGCUGUGGACGUCAGUGCCUUCCUGCAGGAUUAAGGGAUCCUCUCCGGUGGCAGGAGGAUCCCUCAUUCCCAGGAAACUCGAGAGAGAAGUUCUGAGGUGGCCACCUCGUGGGAAGUUGAGGAUUCACUGGACAGGCCUGGAAUCCCCCAUGGACUGAGGAAACACCAGGGUAAGCAGAAAAAGCUGCUUUUCUCCAAAGUUCUGAAGUUUGCUCUUCCCCCAGCCAGAAGAACCAGUCCUGGACAUGGAAGAGGGAACAUGAAUUUUACCGUUGCUAUAGCGA
Molecule: long non-coding RNA, 1904 nt
Organism: Passer montanus (Eurasian tree sparrow)
Lineage: Eukaryota; Metazoa; Chordata; Aves; Passeriformes; Passeridae
Exons: 3
Source: RefSeq, a predicted model, not a curated record